GUGUCAGCAGCCGCGGUAAUACAGAGGGUGCAAGCGUUGUUCGGAAUUAUUGGGCGUAAAGCGCGUGUAGGCGGCUUGGCAAGUCAGAUGUGAAAGCCCUCGGCUUAACCGAGGAAGUGCGUCUGAAACUGCUGAGCUUGAGUGUCGGAGAGGAUGGCGGAAUUCCGCAAGUAGAGGUGAAAUUCGUAGAUAUGCGGAGGAACACCGGUGGCGAAGGCGGCCAUCUGGACGACUACUGACGCUGAGACGCGAAAGCGUGGGGAGCAAACAGGAUUAGAUACCCCCGUAGUCC
RNAcentral lists this ribosomal RNA (292 nucleotides) under uncultured bacterium. Its description in RNAcentral is "partial 16S ribosomal RNA". It matches the Rfam family "Bacterial small subunit ribosomal RNA", at positions 505 to 796 of the family's 1533-position model. The record is from RNAcentral.